CAGCAGCCGCGGGAAUACGUAGGGUGCGAGCGUUGUCCGGAAUUACUGGGCGUAAAGGGCUCGUAGGUGGUUUGUCGCGUCGUCUGUGAAAUUCCGGGGCUUAACUCCGGGCGUGCAGGCGAUACGGGCAUAACUUGAGUACUGUAGGGGUAACUGGAAUUCCUGGUGUAGCGGUGAAAUGCGCAGAUAUCAGGAGGAACACCGAUGGCGAAGGCAGGUUACUGGGCAGUUACUGACGCUGAGGAGCGAAAGCAUGGGUAGCGAACAGGAUUAGAGACCCGAGUAGUCCCUGUUUCUUAUA
Molecule: ribosomal RNA, 301 nt
Filed under: uncultured bacterium
Lineage: Bacteria
Description: partial 16S ribosomal RNA
Rfam family: Bacterial small subunit ribosomal RNA
Source: RNAcentral